Molecule: long non-coding RNA, 1053 nt
Filed under: Malus domestica (apple)
Lineage: Eukaryota; Viridiplantae; Streptophyta; Magnoliopsida; Rosales; Rosaceae
Description: long non-coding RNA (MDOM_LNC020426)
Source: RNAcentral
UGGAUUUUCAUGAUUUUUGUGUGAUCUGAGCUUGAUUCAUUGAUCUUGCUCUUCCUUUUUUUGUAGUGAGAAUGAGAAGAACGAAUUCACCAACCUCUUCUCUCGUUACGUAAGGUAAAUUGAAUUGAAUCGAAUCAAAUUUUCUUCUUUUUAUUUUAUUUCUAUGUUUGGUUGAUGAGAAAAUGAUGAAAAAAUUGGUACUGAAAUCUAUGUGAAUUUGUGUACCUUAGAUUGGCACUUUGAUGGAAUUUGAUUUGACAAUGCAUGUUGUAGUGGAAGAGAAGCACAUGCUCAAAAAGGAAGGGGAAGGAAUCGCAUGUCCGCUGGAUGGUAGUAGGUUGCUUUGCAGUUUCAAAGACUAACUGUGUUCUUUUGUGCAUCAUGUGGAGUUUCAUGUUCAAGUACACACUUGUGUAUAUCAUUGAGCCAUUUAGGCAAUUCAUUAGGUUUAAGAGAGAAAUCGAUCUCUUGGAGGGCGAAUUAUGAAAACCCAUUUUAUACAUUUUUGUAGAACAUGUUUUAGUCUGACCUUGAUUCAGGUAGCAGGUUGACCGAAGAGUCAUCAACCAUUCAUGUGGGUGAAAUUUUGAUUGGGUUGAAGCCCUUGCACACAGUCCCAUAUUAAUAGGGAACAGAAUAUCGAUAAACAUUGAAAGUUAAUCGAUUUUUUUUUAAUGUCAAGUUCUUUGUCUCUCUUCAUAUUUCAUCUUGAAUAUGCAGACUCCCUUGUAUCUUCCUCUUUUUUAUGUAACAUGUGUAUUGAUGCAUUGAUGAGCUUGUUCUUAUUUCGUCGAGUGUUUGAGAGGUUUUUCUAAACCAUUGUGCAUUCUUGAAAAUUACAAUGGCGCAAAUGUGUUAUUGGUGGAAAAUUUUAGAGAAAUUUGUGUCUAGUUCCCGAAGUUUCUUGUAAUUAUAUCAAAUGAUAUUUGAGCUUGUGAGCAAUUAAGCUAAAAACCUCAAAAUAACUCAUACUAUUUCUGGAACUACAACAAAAAAAAACUCACACUAUUUAUGAAAUCUAAUCAAAAUAACCCAUAUUGUUUAUGGAAGGGA